RNAcentral lists this long non-coding RNA (598 nucleotides) under Mus pahari (shrew mouse). Its description in RNAcentral is "predicted gene, 37634 (MGP_PahariEiJ_G0003673.1)". Lineage: Eukaryota; Metazoa; Chordata; Mammalia; Rodentia; Muridae. The record is from RNAcentral.
GAGAAAUCUUAAGCAAGUUUUAGGGCUACGGAGUAACCCUGUCUUAACACCAUAAAGAACCGGGCAGUGGUAGCACACGCCUUUAAUCCCAGCACUUGGGAGGCAGAGGCAGGUGGAUUUCUUGAGUUCGAGGCCAGCCGUCAGGAUAUAGAACUCUCAGCUACUUCUACAUCAUGUCUGUGUUUGUCACCAUGCUGAUAACUAAAACUAUAAGCCAGCACCAACUAAAUGCUUUUUAUAUAAAGAGUUGUGGUGUCUCCUCACAGCAAUAGAACAGUGACUAAGGGCUGUAUUUUCAGCCCUGUUUUACAGUAUUUCAAAUAUCUGCCACAAAUGUAACCUCAUGAUUCUGGCAACAAGAGUCCUGUGAGAUAGCCAGAACAAGUGUCAUUCACAUUAUAUAAGCUGCUGAGGCAGCUAAGAGACAUUUGUAGCUUGCUUAAGGUACAACACAAUAGAAUUCUGUUCUUGUAAUUUUUUUGGGGGGGGGUUCUACUAUACUACUUAGAACAUUAUGUUGAUAGCUGAAUGGUUAGCAAAAAGUUCAAUUUCUGGUUCUAAUGAGGCUAGAUGAGCUGAAACCUUGCUGCCAGUCUAC